CAGUGGGAGCACGCUUAGGCGUGUGACUGCGUACCUUUUGUAUAAUGGGUCAGCGACUUAUAUUCUGUAGCAAGGUUAACCGAAUAGGGGAGCCGAAGGGAAACCGAGUCUUAACUGGGCGUUAAGUUGCAGGGUAUAGACCCGAAACCCGGUGAUCUAGCCAUGGGCAGGUUGAAGGUUGGGUAACACUAACUGGAGGACCGAACCGACUAAUGUUGAAAAAUUAGCGGAUGACUUGUGGCUGGGGGUGAAAGGCCAAUCAAACCGGGAGAUAGCUGGUUCUCCCCGAAAGCUAUUUAGGUAGCGCCUCGUGAAUUCAUCUC
RNAcentral lists this ribosomal RNA (323 nucleotides) under Escherichia coli. RNAcentral's name for it is "partial 23S ribosomal RNA". It matches the Rfam family "Bacterial large subunit ribosomal RNA", at positions 571 to 896 of the family's 2925-position model. The record is from RNAcentral. Lineage: Bacteria; Pseudomonadati; Pseudomonadota; Gammaproteobacteria; Enterobacterales; Enterobacteriaceae.